CGGAUCGGAGUCUGCAACCCGACUCCGUGAAGCUGGAUUCGCUAGUAAUCGCGCAUCAGCCAUGGCGCGGUGAAUACGUUCCCGGGCCUUGUACACACCGCCCGUCAAGCCAUGGAAGCCGGGGGCGCUUGAAGUGCGUUGCCGCAAGGCGCGCCCUAGAGCGAAACCGGUGACUGGGGCUAAGUCGUAACAAGGUAUC
This 199-nucleotide ribosomal RNA is filed under the name uncultured bacterium. RNAcentral's name for it is "partial 16S ribosomal RNA". It matches the Rfam family "Bacterial small subunit ribosomal RNA", at positions 1294 to 1500 of the family's 1533-position model. The record is from RNAcentral.